This 345-nucleotide unclassified non-coding RNA is filed under the name Hevea brasiliensis (rubber tree). Lineage: Eukaryota; Viridiplantae; Streptophyta; Magnoliopsida; Malpighiales; Euphorbiaceae. The record is from RNAcentral.
AAAUGCAUACUAUAAUAAACACGGAUUGCAGAAACAAGCCAUUAAAACAAAAGAGGAGCUUGUAACCCAUUUAGAUUCACGCACAAACUCCUUAACUAGUACCGGUUUGCAUAGAAAAGGAGUGAACCUGCGAAUAUGCAUUUCAAUAAAAAGAAAGCUAGCCAUCUCCAACUCAACUGUGAGAAUAGGAGAAGAUUGGCCAACCAACAGCCUUUCAAACGAAGAACAUUAUGUUUUCCAGUUCAGCAUGUAAUUUGUAGAACCUAUCAUCCAACGAAGCAGCUGAUGAAAGUGAUGAUGUAGCUGCUGAAGAGGUUGAAGAUGAUGCUGAAGCUGGAGAUUGCC